This 454-nucleotide ribosomal RNA is filed under the name uncultured bacterium. RNAcentral describes it as "bacterial SSU rRNA". It matches the Rfam family "Bacterial small subunit ribosomal RNA", at positions 340 to 786 of the family's 1533-position model. The record is from RNAcentral.
UACGGAAGGCAGCAGUGGGAAAUAUUGCACAAUGGGCGCAAGCCUGAUGCAGCCAUGCCGCGUGUAUGAAGAAGGCCUUCGGGUUGUAAAGUACUUUCAGUCGUGAGGAAGGUGUUAAGGUUAAUAACCUUAGCAAUUGACGUUAGCGACAGAAGAAGCACCGGCUAACUCCGUGCCAGCAGCCGCGGUAAUACGGAGGGUGCGAGCGUUAAUCGGAAUUACUGGGCGUAAAGGGCACGCAGGCGGUUAAUUAAGUUGGAUGUGAAAUCCCCGGGCUUAACCUGGGAAUGGCAUUCAAGACUGGUUAGCUAGAGUCUUGUAGAGGGGGUAGAAUUCCAUGUGUAGCGGUGAAAUGCGUAGAGAUGUGGAGGAAUACCGGUGGCGAAGGCGGCCCCUGGGACAAAGACUGACGCUCAUGUGCGAAAGCGUGGGGAGCAAACAGGGAUUAGAUACC